This 467-nucleotide ribosomal RNA is filed under the name uncultured bacterium. Its description in RNAcentral is "partial 16S ribosomal RNA". It matches the Rfam family "Bacterial small subunit ribosomal RNA", at positions 28 to 506 of the family's 1533-position model. The record is from RNAcentral.
GACGAACGCUGGCGGCGUGCUUAACACAUGCAAGUCGAACGGUAAGGCCCUGCUUUUGUGGGGUGCUCGAGUGGCGAACGGGUGAGUAACACGUGAGUAACCUGCCCUUGACUUUGGGAUAACUUCAGGAAACUGGGGCUAAUACCGGAUAGGAGCUCCUGCUGCAUGGUGGGGGUUGGAAAGUUUCGGCGGUUGGGGAUGGACUCGCGGCUUAUCAGCUUGUUGGUGGGGUAGUGGCUUACCAAGGCUUUGACGGGUAGCCGGCCUGAGAGGGUGACCGGCCACAUUGGGACUGAGAUACGGCCCAGACUCCUACGGGAGGCAACAGUGGGGAAUAUUGCACAAUGGGCGGAAGCCUGAUGCAGCAACGCCGCGUGCGGGAUGACGGCCUUCGGGUUGUAAACCGCUUUCGCCUGUGACGAAGCGUGAGUGACGGUAAUGGGUAAAGAAGCACCGGCUAACUACGU